GACGAACGCCGGCGGCGUGCCUAAUACAUGCAAGUUGAGCGCUGAAGGUUGGUACUUGUACCCACUGGAUGAGCAGCGAACGGGUGAGUAACGCGUGGGGAAUCUGCCUUUGAGCGGGGGACAACAUUUGGAAACGAAUGCUAAUACCGCAUAAAAACUUUAAACACAAGUUUUAAGUUUGAAAGAUGCAAUUGCAUCACUCAAAGAUGAUCCCGCGUUGUAUUAGCUAGUUGGUGAGGUAAAGGCUCACCAAGGCGAUGAUACAUAGCCGACCUGAGAGGGUGAUCGGCCACAUUGGGACUGAGACACGGCCCAAACUCCUACGGGAGGCAGCAGUAGGGAAUCUUCGGCAAUGGACGAAAGUCUGACCGAGCAACGCCGCGUGAGUGAAGAAGGUUUUCGGAUCGUAAAACUCUGUUGGUAGAGAAGAACGUUGGUGAGAGUGGAAAGCUCAUCAAGUGACGGUAACUACCCAGAAAGGGACGGCUAACUACGUG
This 497-nucleotide ribosomal RNA is filed under the name uncultured bacterium. RNAcentral's name for it is "partial 16S ribosomal RNA". It matches the Rfam family "Bacterial small subunit ribosomal RNA", at positions 28 to 507 of the family's 1533-position model. The record is from RNAcentral.